This is a small nuclear RNA of Cercocebus atys (sooty mangabey), 107 nucleotides long. The record is from Ensembl. NCBI's taxonomy places the organism in Eukaryota, Metazoa, Chordata, Mammalia, Primates, Cercopithecidae.
GUGAUCGCUUCAGCAGCACAUAUACUAAAAUUGCAACGGUACAGGGAAGAUUAGCGUGGGCCCUACACAAGGACGACAUGGAAAUUCGUGAAGCAUUCCAUACAGAA